AGCAAAAGAAGAGAAACUCAAGGAGGAAAAACUAAAGGCGGAGAAACUUAAGGAAGCAGCAACUAAAGCGGACGCAACGACGAUGGAACCUCCAAAAUUCAUUGGUCCAACUCUCACUGGUCAACAACUAUUCAACAACCUUUUCUAUGAAGCGUUAGGAAACACAAUGCGACAGAUUAUUUCAAAGAAUCCCGAGCUCAAGGAGAACCUUGGAGAGGAUUGGGAUCCCGUGACUCUGAUGAGACCUAAGCAUUCAUCUCAUCCGAAAACUGCGUAGAGGGGAUAAGUUGGAGAAAAAUAGAUGGAUUUUGGUAGAAGGGAAGGAAAAGUGGAUUGUCGAAAGUUUUUGAAAUUAAUUGGGAGAAAAUGAAAUAAAUUGAAUGUUGGCAAAAUUA
This is a long non-coding RNA of Diachasma alloeum, 395 nucleotides long. RefSeq lists it as uncharacterized. NCBI's taxonomy places the organism in Eukaryota, Metazoa, Arthropoda, Insecta, Hymenoptera, Braconidae. The record is from RefSeq and is a predicted model, not a curated record. The transcript is spliced from 2 exons.